Molecule: ribosomal RNA, 722 nt
Filed under: Enterococcus mundtii
Lineage: Bacteria; Bacillati; Bacillota; Bacilli; Lactobacillales; Enterococcaceae
Description: bacterial SSU rRNA
Rfam family: Bacterial small subunit ribosomal RNA
Source: RNAcentral
CCAUCAUAAGGGGAUAACACUUGGAAACAGGUGCUAAUACCGUAUAACAAUCGAAACCGCAUGGUUUCGUUUUGAAAGGCGCUUUACGGUGCCACUGAUGGAUGGACCCGCGGUGCAUUAGCUAGUUGGUGAGGUAACGGCUCACCAAGGCCACGAUGCAUAGCCCACCUGAGAGGGUGAUCGGCCACAUUGGGACUGAGACACGGCCCAAACUCCUACGGGAGGCAGCAGUAGGGAAUCUUCGGCAAUGGACGAAAGUCUGACCGAGCAACGCCGCGUGAGUGAAGAAGGUUUUCGGAUCAUAAAACUCUGUUGUUAGAGAAGAACAAGGGUGAGAGUAACUGUUCACCCCUUGACGGUAUCUAACCAGAGAGCCACGGCUAACUACAUGCCAGCAGCCGCGGUAAUACGUAGGUGGCAAGCGUUGUCCGGAUUUAUUGGGCGUAAAGCGAGCGCAAGCGGUUUCUUAAGUCUGAUGUGAAAGCCCCCGGCUCAACCGGGGAGGGUCAUUGGAAACUGGGAGACUUGAGUGCAGAAGAGGAGAGUGGAAUUCCAUGUGUAGCGGUGAGAUGCGUACAUAUAUGGAAGGAACACCCGUGGCGAAAGCGGCUCUCUGGUCUGUAACUGACGCUGAGGCUCUAAAACGUGCGGAGCAAACAGGAUUAUAUACCCUGGUAUUCCACGCCGUAAACCAUGAGUGCUAAUUGUUGGAGGUUUUCCGC